GACGAAGGUGGCUAGCGUUGCUCGGAUUUACUGGGCAUAAAGCGCGCGUAGGUGGUCGUGUAAGCGGGGGAUGAAAGCCCAUGGCUCACCCAUGGAACUGUCCCCCGGACUGCACGGCUCGAGGAAGGAAGGGGAGAAUGGAAUUCCCGGUGUAGCGGUGAAAUGCGUAGAUAUCGGGAGGAACGCCGGUGGCGAAAGCGAUUCUCUGGUCCUCUCCUGACACUGAGGCGCGAAAGCUAGGGGAGCAAACAGG
RNAcentral lists this ribosomal RNA (253 nucleotides) under uncultured bacterium. Its description in RNAcentral is "partial 16S ribosomal RNA". It matches the Rfam family "Bacterial small subunit ribosomal RNA", at positions 524 to 776 of the family's 1533-position model. The record is from RNAcentral.